Molecule: ribosomal RNA, 254 nt
Filed under: uncultured bacterium
Lineage: Bacteria
Description: partial 16S ribosomal RNA
Rfam family: Bacterial small subunit ribosomal RNA
Source: RNAcentral
UACGGGGGGAGCAAGCGUUGUUCGGAUUUACUGGGCGUAAAGGGCGCGUAGGCGGUCAGCACAAGUCAGUUGUGAAAUCUCCGGGCUUAACUCGGAAAGGUCAACUGAUACUGUGCGACUAGAGUGCAGAAGGGGCAACUGGAAUUCUCGGUGUAGCGGUGAAAUGCGUAGAUAUCGAGAGGAACACCUGCGGCGAAGGCGGGUCGCUGGGCUGACACUGACGCUGAGGCGCGAAAGCCAGGGGAGCGAACGGG